RNAcentral lists this ribosomal RNA (496 nucleotides) under uncultured bacterium. Its description in RNAcentral is "partial 16S ribosomal RNA". It matches the Rfam family "Bacterial small subunit ribosomal RNA", at positions 29 to 507 of the family's 1533-position model. The record is from RNAcentral.
ACGAACGCUGGCGGCGUGCCUAAUACAUGCAAGUUGAGCGCUGAAGGUUGGUACUUGUACCAACUGGAUGAGCAGCGAACGGGUGAGUAACGCGUGGGGAAUCUGCCUUUGAGCGGGGGACAACAUUUGGAAACGAAUGCUAAUACCGCAUAAAAACUUUAAACACAAGUUUUAAGUUUGAAAGAUGCAAUUGCAUCACUCAAAGAUGAUCCCGCGUUGUAUUAGCUAGUUGGUGAGGUAAAGGCUCACCAAGGCGACGAUACAUAGCCGACCUGAGAGGGUGAUCGGCCACAUUGGGACUGAGACACGGCCCAAACUCCUACGGGAGGCAGCAGUAGGGAAUCUUCGGCAAUGGACGAAAGUCUGACCGAGCAACGCCGCGUGAGUGAAGAAGGUUUUCGGAUCGUAAAACUCUGUUGGUAGAGAAGAACGUUGGUGAGAGUGGAAAGCUCAUCAAGUGACGGUAACUACCCAGAAAGGGACGGCUAACUACGUG